AAGUCGUAACAAGGUCUCCGUUGGUGAACCAGCGGAGGGAUCAUUACCGAGUUUACAACUCCCAAACCCCUGUGAACAUACCUAUCGUUGCCUCGGCGGUGCCCGCUCCGGCGGCCCGCCAGAGGACCCCCAAACUCUUGUUUUAUACAGUAUCUUCUGAGUAACACGAUUAAAUAAAUCAAAA
Molecule: unclassified non-coding RNA, 184 nt
Filed under: plant metagenome
Description: partial contains small subunit ribosomal RNA and internal transcribed spacer 1
Rfam family: Eukaryotic small subunit ribosomal RNA (bases 1-46)
Source: RNAcentral